Molecule: ribosomal RNA, 301 nt
Filed under: uncultured bacterium
Lineage: Bacteria
Description: partial 16S ribosomal RNA
Rfam family: Bacterial small subunit ribosomal RNA
Source: RNAcentral
CAGUAGCCGCGGUAAUACAGAGGGUGCGAGCGUUAAUCGGAUUUACUGGGCGUAAAGCGUGCGUAGGCGGCUAAUUGAGUCGGAUGUGAAAUCCCCGAGCUUAACUUGGGAAUUGCAUUCGAUACUGGUUAGCUAGAGUGUGGGAGAGGAUGGUAGAAUUCCAGGUGUGGCGGUGAAAUGCGUAGAGAUCUGGAGGAAUACCGAUGGCGAAGGCAGCCAUCUGGCCUAACACUGACGCUGAGGUACGAAAGCAUGGGGAGCAAACAGGAUUAGAUACCCGGGUAGUCCCUGUCUCUUAUAC